RNAcentral lists this ribosomal RNA (466 nucleotides) under uncultured bacterium. RNAcentral describes it as "partial 16S ribosomal RNA". It matches the Rfam family "Bacterial small subunit ribosomal RNA", at positions 28 to 507 of the family's 1533-position model. The record is from RNAcentral.
GAUGAACGCUGGCGGCGUGCUUAACACAUGCAAGUCGAACGAUGAAGCCCAGCUUGCUGGGUGGAUUAGUGGCAAACGGUGGGUUAACCCGUGAUUAACCUCCCCUUAACUCUGGGAUAACCCGGGGAAACUGGUUCUAAUACGGAUUAGGAGCUUCACCGGCAGGGGGGGGGUUGGAAGGUUUUAUCGGUUUUGGAUGGACUCGCGGCCUAUCAGCUUGUUGGUGAGGUAAUGGCUCACCAAGGCGACGACGGGUAGCCGGCCUGAGAGGGUGACCGGCCACACUGGGACUGAGACACGGCCCAGACUCCUACGGGAGGCAGCAGUGGGGAAUAUUGCACAAUGGGCGCAAGCCUGAUGCAGCGACGCCGCGUGAGGGAUGACGGCCUUCGGGUUGUAAACCUCUUUCAGUAGGGAAGAAGCGAAAGUGACGGUACCUGCAGAAGAAGCACCGGCUAACUACGUG